UAUUAUUUUUUGAUGUUAAUUAUUUAACCUGAGUAGUAAUAGAUAUGGUCUUGAAACUUAAAGAAUUUGGCAGUAUUUUAUUCUGUUCAGAGGAACCUGUUCUUUUAUCGAUAAUCCUCGUUGGACCUUACUUAGUUUAUUGAUUUGUAUACCGCCGUUGUAUUGAGGAUCUUUAUAGUGUUUUAAUUUUCUAGUUUUUAUUUUAGUUUAUUUCAGGUCAAGGUGCAAUUUAUGAUUGAGUAGAAAUGGGUUACGUUUAUAUUUAUUUUUGGAUUAUUAAAUGGAAUUUUGAUAUGAAAUUGGAUUUGAAUGUAAUUGUUAUUUUAGAUUGUAUUGAUGAUUAAGUUUCUAGAAUGUGUACAUAUCGCCCGUCACUCUCGUUAUUUAUUCGAG
RNAcentral lists this ribosomal RNA (393 nucleotides) under Cryptocercus luanchuanensis. RNAcentral describes it as "partial 12S small subunit ribosomal RNA". The record is from RNAcentral. Lineage: Eukaryota; Metazoa; Arthropoda; Insecta; Blattodea; Cryptocercidae.